GACGAACCGUGCGAACGUUAUUCGGAAUCACUGGGCUUAAAGGGCGCGUAGGCGGGCUCGUAAGUCAGGGGUGAAAUCCCACGGCCCAACCGUGGAAGUGCCUCUGAUACUGCGGGCCUCGAGGGGGAUAGGGGCGUGCGGAACUCAGGGUGGAGCGGUGAAAUGCGUAGAUAUCCUGAGGAACACCGGUGGCGAAAGCGGCGCGCUGGAUCCCUUCUGACGCUGAGGCGCGAAAGCUAGGGGAGCAAACAGG
Molecule: ribosomal RNA, 253 nt
Filed under: uncultured bacterium
Lineage: Bacteria
Description: partial 16S ribosomal RNA
Rfam family: Bacterial small subunit ribosomal RNA
Source: RNAcentral